UGGGGAAUAUUGCACAAUGGGCGAAAGCCUGAUGCAGCGACGCCGCGUGAGGGAUGACGGCCUUCGGGUUGUAAACCUCUUUCGCACGGGACGAAGCGAGAGUGACGGUACCGUGAGAAGAAGCACCGGCUAACUACGUGCCAGCAGCCGCGGUAAUACGUAGGGUGCGAGCGUUGUCCGGAAUUAUUGGGCGUAAAGAGCUCGUAGGCGGUUUGUCGCGUCUAUCGUGAAAACUGGAGGCUUAACUUUCAGCGUGCGGUGGAUACGGGCAGACUUGAGUUCGGUAGGGGAGACUGGAAUUCCUGGUGUAGCGGUGAAAUGCGCAGAUAUCAGGAGGAACACCGGUGGCGAAGGCGGGUCUCUGGGCCGAAACUGACGCUGAGGAGCGAAAGCGUGGGGAGCAAACAG
RNAcentral lists this ribosomal RNA (408 nucleotides) under uncultured bacterium. RNAcentral describes it as "bacterial SSU rRNA". It matches the Rfam family "Bacterial small subunit ribosomal RNA", at positions 355 to 775 of the family's 1533-position model. The record is from RNAcentral.